AGAACGAACGCUGGCGGCAGGCUUAACACAUGCAAGUCGAACGCCCCGCGAGGGGAGUGGCAGACGGGUGAGUAACGCGUGGGAAUCUACCCAGAACUUCGGAACAACUGAGGGAAACUUCAGCUAAUACCGGAUACGCCCUACGGGGGAAAGAUUUAUCGGUUCUGGAUGAGCCCGCGUUGGAUUAGCUAGUUGGUGGGGUAAUGGCCCACCAAGGCGACGAUCCAUAGCUGGUCUGAGAGGAUGAUCAGCCACACUGGGACUGAGACACGGCCCAGACUCCUACGGGAGGCAGCAGUGGGGAAUAUUGGACAAUGGGCGAAAGCCUGAUCCAGCCAUGCCGCGUGAGUGAUGAAGGCCUUAGGGUUGUAAAGCUCUGUGGGGAGGGACGAAUAAGCCUGGUGAUAAUAACACCGGGCCCUGGACGGUACCUCCUUAGCAAGCCACCGGCUAACCCUGUGCCAGCAGCCGC
This 472-nucleotide ribosomal RNA is filed under the name uncultured bacterium. Its description in RNAcentral is "SSU rRNA". It matches the Rfam family "Bacterial small subunit ribosomal RNA", at positions 26 to 518 of the family's 1533-position model. The record is from RNAcentral.